Molecule: ribosomal RNA, 451 nt
Filed under: uncultured bacterium
Lineage: Bacteria
Description: bacterial SSU rRNA
Rfam family: Bacterial small subunit ribosomal RNA
Source: RNAcentral
GUCGAGAAUAAUUCACAAUGGGGGCAACCCUGAUGGUGCAACGCCGCGUGGAGGAUGACGGUCUUCGGAUUGUAAACUCCUGUCAUCCGGGAGCAAGACCUGACGGUGAAGAUCCGGCAGGGUUGAUAGUACCGGAAGAGGAAGGGACGGCUAACUUCGUGCCAGCAGCCGCGGUAAUACGAAGGUCCCGAGCGUUGUUCGGAAUCACUGGGCGUAAAGGGAGCGUAGGCGGCGUGGCAAGUCAGACGUGAAAGCCCGGGGCUCAACCCCGGAACUGCGUCCGAUACUGCCGUGCUUUGAGGGUUGGAGAGGUAGCUGGAAUUCUUGGUGUAGCAGUGAAAUGCGUGGAGAUCAAGAGGAACACUCGUGGCGAAAGCGAGCUACUGGACAACACCUGACGCUGAGGCUCGAAGGCCAGGGUAGCGAAAGGGAUUAGAAACCCCGGUAGUCC